Molecule: ribosomal RNA, 252 nt
Filed under: uncultured prokaryote
Description: partial 16S rRNA
Rfam family: Archaeal small subunit ribosomal RNA
Source: RNAcentral
ACCGGCAGCUCAAGUGGUGGCCAUUUUUAUUGGGCCUAAAGCGUUCGUAGCCGGUUUGAUAAGUCUCUGGUGAAAUCCCGCAGCUUAACUGUGGGACUUGCUGGAGAUACUAUUAGACUUGAGGUCGGGAGAGGUUAGGGGUACUCCCAGGGUAGGGUUUAAAUCCAACAAUCCUGGGAGGGACACCUGAGGGGAAGGCGCCCAACUGGGACUAGCCUGACGAUGAGUAACGAAAUUCAUGGUCGCGAGCCG